This 1007-nucleotide ribosomal RNA is filed under the name Ophiocordyceps sp. Its description in RNAcentral is "SSU rRNA". It matches the Rfam family "Eukaryotic small subunit ribosomal RNA", at positions 74 to 1092 of the family's 1831-position model. Lineage: Eukaryota; Fungi; Ascomycota; Sordariomycetes; Hypocreales; Ophiocordycipitaceae. The record is from RNAcentral.
UUAUACAGCGAAACUGCGAACGGGUCAUUAUAUAAGUUAUCGUUUAUUUGAUAGCACCUUACUACUUGGGUAACCGUGGUAAUUCUAGAGCUAAUACAUGCUGAAAAUCCCGACUCCGGAAGGGAUGUGUUUAUUAGAUUCAAAGCCAACGCCCUCUGGGCUCACUGGUGAUUCAUGAUAACCGCUCGAAUCGCACGGCCUUGCGCCGGCGAUGGGUCAUUCAAAUUUCUUCCCUAUCAACUUUCGAUGUUUGGGUAGUGGCCAAACAUGGUUGCAACGGGUAACGGAGGGUUAGGGCUCGACCCCGGAGAAGGAGCCUGAGAGACGGCUACUACAUCCAAGGAAGGCAGCAGGCGCGCAAAUUACCCAAUCCCGACACGGGGAGGUAGUGACAAUAAAUACCGAUAUAGGGCUCUUUUGGGUCUUAUAAUUGGAAUGAGUACAAUUUAAAUCCCUUAACGAGGAACAAUUGGAGGGCAAGUCUGGUGCCAGCAGCCGCGGUAAUUCCAGCUCCAAUAGCGUAUAUUAAAGUUGUUGUGGUUAAAAAGCCCGUAGUUGAACGUUGGGCCUGGCUGGCCGGUCCGCCUCACCGCGUGCACUGGUCCGGCCGGGCCUUUCCCUCCGCGGAACCCCAUGCCCUUCGCUGGGCGUGGCGGGGAAACGGGACUUUUACUUUGAAAAAAUUAGAGUGCUCCAGGCAGGCCUAUGCUCGAAUACAUUAGCAUGGAAUAAUGAAAUAGGACGCGCGGUUCUAUUUUGUUGGUUUCUAGGACCGCCGUAAUGAUUGAUAGGGACAGUCGGGGGCGUCAGUAUUCAACCGUCAGAGGUGAAAUUCUUGGACCGUUUGAAGACUAACUACUGCGAAAGCAUUCGCCAAGGAUGUUUUCAUUAAUCAGGGACGAAAGCUAGGGGAUCGAAGACGAUCAGAUACCGUCGUAGUCUUACCCAUAAACUAUGCCGACUAGGGAUCGGGCGAUGUUAUUCUUUGACUCGCUCGGCCCCUUACG